UUUUGAAUGAUACGAGAUCCUGAGGCCCAUCGUUGUGCCAUUCAUCCAUCACCUCAUGUUGCAGCAUGAUAAU
This is a long non-coding RNA of Sinocyclocheilus rhinocerous, 73 nucleotides long. RefSeq lists it as uncharacterized. Lineage: Eukaryota; Metazoa; Chordata; Actinopteri; Cypriniformes; Cyprinidae. The transcript is spliced from 3 exons. The record is from RefSeq and is a predicted model, not a curated record.